UCUGAAUCUGCGUACGGCUCCGCAAACCAGUUGUAAACCAAAGCAAGCAUACUCGGGGACUGCCCUUCACGGGGUGGGCUCGGGUGAUACGGAUAACCCUGGUAAUUCUGAGGCUAAUACGAGACUAUAAUCCCUGGCGGACCGGGCAACUGGGAAGCUGGGGGGCGUGCGAUCUAUUUGCAAGACGAUACCAGGAGGGGGUGCACGCUCUGACCGCGAUAAAGACGGUUCCGGUAAACCUUCGGGCGAGCUGGUUCCGAGCGGCUCUUGCGAUGUGCUUCUGACCUAUCAACUAGAUGGCAGCGUAACGGACAUGCUAU
Molecule: ribosomal RNA, 320 nt
Filed under: Diderma niveum
Lineage: Eukaryota; Evosea; Eumycetozoa; Physariida; Didymiaceae
Description: bacterial SSU rRNA
Rfam family: Eukaryotic small subunit ribosomal RNA
Source: RNAcentral